CAGCAGCCGCGGGAAUACGUAGGUGGCAAGCGUUGUCCGGAAUUAUUGGGCGUAAAGCGCGCGCAGGUGGUUUAACAAGUCUGAUGUGAAAGCCCACGGCUCAACCGUGGAGGGUCAUUGGAAACUGUUAAACUUGAGUGCAGGAGAGAAAAGUGGAAUUCCUAGUGUAGCGGUGAAAUGCGUAGAGAUUAGGAGGAACACCAGUGGCGAAGGCGGCUUUUUGGCCUGUAACUGACACUGAGGCGCGAAAGCGUGGGGAGCAAACAGGAUUAGAGACCCCUGUAGUCCCUGUCUCUUAUAC
This 301-nucleotide ribosomal RNA is filed under the name uncultured bacterium. RNAcentral's name for it is "partial 16S ribosomal RNA". It matches the Rfam family "Bacterial small subunit ribosomal RNA", at positions 509 to 807 of the family's 1533-position model. The record is from RNAcentral.